AAACUGCGAUAAGUAGUGUGAAUUGCAUUUAGUGAAUCAUCGAAUCUUUGAACGCACCCUGCACUCACUGGUAUUCCGGUGAGUACGCCUGUUUCAGUAUCAUUGAAAACACACAAUCAAAACAAUUUCUUUGGUUUGAUUGGCUUUGGGUCUAUCAAAAAGUUUGGCUUGUUUCUUACAAGCCAAGCGGCCUGAAAUAUAUUGUCUGGCUAAUUGCAUCGUUGAUGAUCGCUAUUAGACUUUGGCUUUUUUAAAUGAACUGGAGGUUGAUUAACCAGUUUUAGCUUUAGUCAAAUGGUCAUUGUAAAAAAAAUCUCGAUCUUGGCUAGGUGUUUAUAGCCGAAAAUUUUUUUUUGGCUAUAACCGAAACCAAUAUAAUCACAUUUAGUUAUCGAUCUGAAAUCAGGUGGGACUACCCGCUGAACUUAAGC
This 431-nucleotide unclassified non-coding RNA is filed under the name plant metagenome. RNAcentral describes it as "partial contains 5.8S ribosomal RNA, internal transcribed spacer 2, and large subunit ribosomal RNA". The stretch from base 1 to 102 matches the Rfam family "5.8S ribosomal RNA", at positions 50 to 154 of the family's 154-position model. The record is from RNAcentral.